UCAAUAUGAUGGCCAGGAGAAGGGGCGGUGUUUUGUGUUUAUGCUCCGCCUAUAGUGUUAUGCUCCGCCCAGUCUAGAGCUGAGGCCGUUGCUGUCGUGUAGCGGCUUUAUUGCUUGUGCGAGAGCGGCUCAUUGUGUAUUACAGCCCGAAGUGAGUGGUGCACGGGAGGCGCUGCGCGUGUCCUUUUGUAAUAACAUGGCUGAUUACUUGAUCAGUGGUGGCACUGGCUACGUUCCUGAGGACGGACUCACCGCACAGCAGCUUUUUGCUAUCUCUGAUGGUCUCACCUACAAAUACAAGUAAAUAACUGUAAUUCACGCUUUUCCUGCGUUUUGUGACGAUUAUGGAGCAGGAGGAUAGAGCCAGAAGUGAGAUUUCAGCAGAAGCUUUAUUACAAAAGAAUCCAGACUGGCAAGUGCUUCCUUUAUACUUCUAUAAUCACAUUAUGUAA
Long non-coding RNA from Bombina bombina (fire-bellied toad), 452 nucleotides. RefSeq lists it as uncharacterized. NCBI's taxonomy places the organism in Eukaryota, Metazoa, Chordata, Amphibia, Anura, Bombinatoridae. The transcript has 3 exons. The record is from RefSeq and is a predicted model, not a curated record.